RNAcentral lists this long non-coding RNA (440 nucleotides) under Elaeis guineensis (African oil palm). RNAcentral describes it as "long non-coding RNA (EGUI_LNC049815)". Lineage: Eukaryota; Viridiplantae; Streptophyta; Magnoliopsida; Arecales; Arecaceae. The record is from RNAcentral.
GGGAUCCCUUCUUAUAGACGGAGAGCAUAACUGAUUGACAGUGACGUCUGUAAUCGCCUGGUAAUGGACUGUUCAGAGCCACGCGGAGUUUGUUAUGAAGAGUAGUGGCGUCAGAGGCUAUUCAGGGCCACGUGGAAUUUGUUACGGAGAGUGGAGUGGUGUCUGUUGUCGUGACUUGCCAGGGAGUGGAGUAAGAUAGUGGCCCUUGUCGUGGCUUGCCAGAGAGUAGUGGAGUAAGGUAGUGGCCCUUGUCGAGGCUUGCCAGAGAGUAGUGGAGCCACAUAGAAUCCGUUACAAAGUGUGGGAUAAGGCAGCAGCCAUUGUCGCGACUUGUCAGAGAGUUCGGAUUUGUCGGUUGGAGCUCAGUUGGGAUGUCUGAUGGAGCAGAAUGGCUCUCUAUCUCAUCGAUCUAGGAGAAGCUCGGAUGUUUUCGAGAUUGC